Molecule: long non-coding RNA, 1868 nt
Organism: Hippoglossus stenolepis (Pacific halibut)
Lineage: Eukaryota; Metazoa; Chordata; Actinopteri; Pleuronectiformes; Pleuronectidae
Exons: 4
Source: RefSeq, a predicted model, not a curated record
UGUCUUGCACAAACAGUGACCUUUCCUCUCACAGCGGGUUGUUUUUCUAAAGUUCACGGUCAAUUUCAAGUCCCUGAGCGCCAUUUCCUCUAUUUCCUUCAUAAUACACGAUGAAGAAUCGGGGUCAACACCUGCCGCUCUCUGCUCCUGUAACUGCUUUGCUGAGCUUUGACACAAAUACUGUCAGCGCUGAGAUCAGCGGGACGUCUAACCCUGACAGUAAAUCUCUAUCACCAAUACUCCUCCAUAUGGCUGCAUGAAAAUUUCAUUGUGGAGAGCCUGAGGCUGAAGGACCUAGCUGUAAUUAGUUUUCCACAGGUACCAGAUGCAGUAAAUUGCUGAAAGGCAUCACAGAUGAUGUCAGAAUCACCUGCAGCUUCUGAGGAAGGCAGCAGGUUCCAACAUGUCGCUCCGCUGUCACUCAAACGAUGUGAUUCUGAAACACAUUCAGAUUUAAUCUCCUGUGAGCUGGCGUCGCUGCAGAGGGAACUUCCCUUCCAGGUCCUCGGGGAACGAGCCUCACUAGAGGUCACUGUUGUUCUGAAGGAGAGACGCAGCAGGGAUCAGGGACGGCAGCACGAGAGACAUAAAUUCACGUUUCCUGCUAAAUGGUUUCAAUUUAUCAGCCGUUGAUGUCACUGAAUAUUUGUCUGCACGUCACAUGUAUGACUGUCCUUUUUGAUUCUUAAUUAUAGCGAGCUUCUAAACAGACACAUGGUUUCGUACUUCUGUUAGAAAGCAUUACUAUCAACAUCUUCAUCAUUGCACAUUGAGAUUCAGCAGAGCUUUAAAUGAUCUGUUCUUAAAAUACAAACUGCUCUCCUACAACAUGGAUUCAUAAGGUUCCUAUUCUCACUUGUAUUGUGUCAUUUCCUGCCCGAGAGCGGACAGGAGGGUCUUUAAUAUUUUAAAUGAAUAUGGAGUAAAUGUGAUGCAUUACGCGACCUCAUUAAUAUGCGAUAACACUGGUCCAAUACGUCCUUUCUCCGUCUCACGUUGUGUUUGGUCUUAAAAAGCAGAUGAAACCGUAUUUUUGUACUUUAAUAGACAACAAGGUGCUUGUAUACAUACACAUACAGUAUAUGUAUAUCACAAGUUCUCUGGAAGCAUGGGAACAGAGAUAUUUGUUAUUCAUGUAUUAUACACACCUCAGAGUUGUGGCUGGUUGGCUGUGAACUGCAUCACCUGUGAUUAAACAUUCAUAGGCUCCAUCUGUGUCCCGGGCGUUUCAGUCGGCAGCAGCAGACUCCAGGACUCUGUGAUACAGGGAAACAGGCACUGAGGGACACACGUCUCCCAUAAACCAGGGACAUGCAGGACGGGGAAGAAAACAGGAUUCAAAUAUGGUGUAAAAAAUUAAAACCUCACAAGACUGUGAUUAUUCAGUUUACUGCGAUGACUAAAGUCACCGUGGACGAGAUUUCUGUAAGAUUUCUGACACCUUGAGUCUUUGAACCAGUCUGGAUAUAAUGUUUGAGUCAAUUCAAGUCAAUGCUCCACAUUAAUUAUCACCUCCGACAAGGAAAUCAGGUUUUCACCCCUGUCCUUUUGUGUGUCAGCAAGAUAACAACUCAAUGGAUAACAAAAGAAUUGUUGUGCGUCUGUGGUACGAAGCCGUUUGAUGGAGUUCAGGGACAGUUGGACCUUGGCGAAGGUGUUUGCUCGACUGAACGUCAUUCUCGUUUUGCUCUGUGUUUAGUACAAGUGGGAUUAUCAAAGCCGGCUGUAGAGUCAUGUGUGAAUGCAGAUCAGACUUUGAGGACAAACCCUUAGUAUUAGACCACCAGCGCUUCCCUGUAAUUUUUCAUGACAGCAGAUUUGUUUUGGUUUUGGUUCCAUAUUGUUCACCGGGUUAUGGUUUGAGUUUU